GUUGUCGCGUCGUGCAGGACACCACAAGCCUUCCAUCUCCGACCGUGUCAUUAAGUAUCAUUUGUCUGCGAUCCGCUGGCCGACAUCCUGCACGCACACCGCCACAAAUGACAGACAAUUGUUGGGUGACAAGAAGAAAAACAACCGAAUCUGUGGCACCAGUCGCGACCAAUUAGUCCACCAGGGGGGCGCCUCAAACAAUAAUAAAGAUCGCAUUUCGAGGGGAUGGUCUCGUGAUCCCCAAUAACAAUAUGUGGCGAUUGGAGUCUUCUUAGCGCCGGAAAGUGUGUCUGCGGAGGUCUAGACCGCCGUCGGCACCGGUUUCUAUUGGUAUUUGAGCAGCAGGGGCGGACUCGCCCGGCGCGACCGGGCCUUUCCAUAUUAACUUGAGGUUACUUUUAAUUUCAAUCAAAAUUUUUACUUGUUUUAAUUUUUGACGUUUACAAUUUAUUGCAAACGUAAAAAUGGAACAAAAAUCUAAGUACAUUAACAAAAGAAAUGAAAGAUAAAAAGAGAGAGGGAACAGAAACAUAAAGGAGAAGGUAUUAAUAGUUCAUAGAACAUGAUAAAAAAAUGUCUGUAAUGUAUUAUUAUAUUUAGUUAUUUAUGAUGUAUAUUUUUUGAUAAUAAGUUAAAAUAAAGAAAAAUGAAACAUUA
Long non-coding RNA from Tribolium madens (black flour beetle), 657 nucleotides. RefSeq lists it as uncharacterized. The transcript has 2 exons. NCBI's taxonomy places the organism in Eukaryota, Metazoa, Arthropoda, Insecta, Coleoptera, Tenebrionidae. The record is from RefSeq and is a predicted model, not a curated record.